RNAcentral lists this ribosomal RNA (513 nucleotides) under uncultured archaeon. RNAcentral describes it as "bacterial SSU rRNA". It matches the Rfam family "Archaeal small subunit ribosomal RNA", at positions 345 to 859 of the family's 1478-position model. The record is from RNAcentral.
AAACUUUGCAAUGUGCGAAAGCACGACAAGGUUAAUCCGAGUGAUUUCUGCUAAAGAGAUCUUUUGUUAGUCCUAGAAACACUAACGAAUAAGGGGUGGGCAAGUUCUGGUGUCAGCCGCCGCGGUAAAACCAGCACCUCAAGUGGUCAGGAUGAUUAUUGGGCCUAAAGCAUCCGUAGCCGGCUCUGUAAGUUUUCGGUUAAAUCUGUACGCUCAACGUACAGGCUGCCGGGAAUACUGCAGAACUAGGGAGUGGGAGAGGUAGACGGUACUCGGUAGGAAGUGGUAAAAUGCUUUGAUCUAUCGAUGACCACCUGUGGCGAAGGCGGUCUACCAGAACACGUCCGACGGUGAGGGAUGAAAGCUGGGGGAGCAAACCGGAUUAGAUACCCGGGUAGUCCCAGCUGUAAACUAUGCAAACUCAGUGAUGCAUUGGCUUGUGGCCAAUGCAGUGCUGCAGGGAAGCCGUUAAGUUUGCCGCCUGGGAAGUACGUACGCAAGUAUGAAACUUAA